RNAcentral lists this long non-coding RNA (1513 nucleotides) under Nicotiana tabacum (common tobacco). Its description in RNAcentral is "long non-coding RNA (NTAB_LNC007919)". The record is from RNAcentral. Lineage: Eukaryota; Viridiplantae; Streptophyta; Magnoliopsida; Solanales; Solanaceae.
AAUCCAAAAAUUCUUUAAAAGGUAAAGAUAUCAAGAGCAUAUUGUACCUUGACACACUUCAGUCAUAUUAUUACAUCUGCCAUGUUUACUACUACAAUACUUAUGAAGUAUAUGAUAAUGUUGAUAUCGAUGCAUAUAUUGAGACUAAUGCGUUGUUUACAGCUAGGGGUCAUAUCACAUUGAUAUAAAUAUCUAAGGACCAGAGAUCUCUCCUGCACAUACUGAGAUUAGUACACUUUGCAUUAGUUACAUAUUAAACUUUUCUCUCUGUACAGUUAACAUUCUAAAGCAUGUUUAAUUUCUCAACAUAUUUUUUGUUCGAGUAUCAGGCAACUAUAAUCUACUUUGGAGAUUGUAUAUGUAUUAUAACUGAUAUAUUUAAAGAAAUACAAGAUCUGUAGCCUCUGCAACUGGUAUUCUUGUUAUGACAACUUUAAGACUCCACCAUAAGGAACAAAGUGAUCAAAAAUUUUAUCUUUUGUUCAUAUGGUUCGAGAAUUUCAAUUACAACCAGAUUGUAAUAUAAGAACUACAUUAUAUGUUUUCAAAGAAGUGCUAAUGUUAACUGUUGAAAAGUUGGGAUCGGGUGCUAAAGAUGUUCUAUUUCUUUUCAACAUAUUCUUUAAUAGUAUCCCACAUAUCAUCCUAGUAAAUCAAAUUACAGUUCAUCCUUCUCUCAAAUGAUUAUUAUUUCUCUACUCAAGUUAAAACUAAAUCAUACGUUCAAGAAUCAAGACUAUAUUGCAAUAUAGCCAAUUACCCAAACUUUUCAACCCGUCAUAUAUGUCCUUGUGACCACACAAGAAACUAUCUACGGAACAAAAGCCACAAAACAAAGGACCACGCUUGUUACCAAUUAAAAACAAAAAACAAAAACAAAAUUAGAUUGAUCUAAGAAGAGAAAUCAAGAAGUUACCUUUUAAAGUAUCUACAGAUCGGAAAAGAACAAUAAAUAUAAUAUGUAAUUAACAGAAAAGAAAAUAAAUUAGAAUCACAUUUAAUUAAAUCCAAAUUUAAAGGGGGAAAAACGAAAAAUACAUAAACUGACAAUAAUUCGUAAAAAUGAAUGAUCCACUUUUACCUUGAAUUUGGCUCCAAAUGCCUGAUAAUCGAAUUUCUUUUAGGUAAAAUAUGUGUAACUGGAGUCUCAAGACCCUAAGAAGGAUCAACGAAUUCUCUUCUUUACAGAGAAAGAAAUCACAUCCGUCAUAAAAAUCUUUCAAACACAACGGCACACAGAAUAGUCCCCAACUUCUUCCAAAAUUUCAUGGUAUUGUCACACCUUUCAACUCUAAGUCCUUUAACAGCCAUGGGUGAGAGCUGAACGACGAUUAGAUCUAGCAGUAGUGAGGGUUUGGAAGAGCAGAAGAAGGGAUUUAGGAAUGAUUUUUGCAUCGGCUAGGGUUUUGGGAAAAAGGGGAAGGGAUUUGGGGAAACAAGGGAAAUAAAGAAAACACUGGCAGCGUAUUCUCUUCUUAAGUUUAAGCGAUAUAAUCCAAAAAGAAAAGAAAAA